Molecule: ribosomal RNA, 259 nt
Filed under: uncultured bacterium
Lineage: Bacteria
Description: partial 16S ribosomal RNA
Rfam family: Bacterial small subunit ribosomal RNA
Source: RNAcentral
AUUAAACGCUGGCGGCAUGCCUUACACAUGCAAGUCGAACGGCAGCACGGGGGCAACCCUGGUGGCGAGUGGCGGACGGGUGAGUAAAGCAUCGGAACGUAUCCUGGAGUGGGGGAUAACGUAGCGAAAGUUACGCUAAUACCGCAUAUUCUGUGAGCAGGAAAGCAGGGGAUCGCAAGACCUUGCGCUCUGGGAGCGGCCGAUGUCGGAUUAGCUAGUUGGUGGGGUAAAGGCCUACCAAGGCACACAGGGGGAUAGG